Molecule: ribosomal RNA, 301 nt
Filed under: uncultured bacterium
Lineage: Bacteria
Description: partial 16S ribosomal RNA
Rfam family: Bacterial small subunit ribosomal RNA
Source: RNAcentral
CAGCCGCCGCGGGAAUACGAAGGGGGCUAGCGUUGUUCGGAAUCACUGGGCGUAAAGCGCACGUAGGCGGAUUUUUAAGUCAGGGGUGAAAUCCCGAGGCUCAACCUCGGAACUGCCUUUGAUACUGGAGAUCUUGAGUUCGGAAGAGGUUGGUGGAACAGCUAGUGUAGAGGUGAAAUUCGUAGAUAUUAGCUAGAACACCAGUGGCGAAGGCGGCCAACUGGUCCGACACUGACGCUGAGGUGCGAAAGCGUGGGGAGCAGACAGGAUUAGAUACCCGCGUAGUCCCUGUCUCUUAUAC